RNAcentral lists this long non-coding RNA (332 nucleotides) under Nicotiana benthamiana. RNAcentral's name for it is "long non-coding RNA (NBEN_LNC010747)". Lineage: Eukaryota; Viridiplantae; Streptophyta; Magnoliopsida; Solanales; Solanaceae. The record is from RNAcentral.
GUUUCCCCCGCCCCCAAUACCGGCUGAUCAACCCAGUUGCAAUCCUCCCCGCCAACGCGUGGUCGACCUCUCCUUCUAUAACUGAGCUCACCACUGUGAACUCCCCUAGAUGAGAACCCUCAUUGCCAUUGGAAGGCACCUUGGACCUAAGGAGUGGACUGUCACUGAAUUCCAUCAAAAUCCAAUGAGCAACCCGCCGAGGUUACAACAAUCAUGUUAGACUAAGAAGAGCCUUGGGUUCCAGUCCCUUGGACAGGCCGUCCAGAGUCCAGACCGAUGCUGCGCCUCAUUAGACAGCAGCGAAACAUACAACUCGAUGUUAAUCAAAGUGA